This 478-nucleotide ribosomal RNA is filed under the name uncultured bacterium. RNAcentral describes it as "bacterial SSU rRNA". It matches the Rfam family "Bacterial small subunit ribosomal RNA", at positions 28 to 526 of the family's 1533-position model. The record is from RNAcentral.
GAUCAACGCUGGCGGCGUGCCUAAUGCAUGCAAGUCGAACGGGGUGCUUUCGGGCACUUACGUGGCGGACGGGUGAGGAACACGUGGGCAAUCUGUCCCAAGGUGGGGGGUAGCCAUCGGAAACGAUGGGUAAUUCCGCAUGUGUCCGGUUUCUGGUGGGGAGACUGGAGAAAGGCCUUCGGGUCGCCUUGGGGGGAGCCUGCGUCCGAUUAGCUAGUUGGUGUGGUAACGGCGCACCAAGGCGGUGAUCGGUAGCUGGUCUGAGAGGACGGCCAGCCACAUGGGGACUGAGACACGGCCCCAACUCCUACGGGAGGCAGCAGCAAGGAAUUUUCCGCAAUGGGGGCAACCCUGACGGAGCAACGCCGCGUGCGGGAAGACGCUUUUCGGAGUGUAAACCGCUUUUCUCGGGGAAGAUGAAGGACGGUACCCGAGGAAUAAGGCCCGGCUAACUACGUGCCAGCAGCCGCAGUAAUAC